GACGAACGCUGGCGGCGUGCUUAACACAUGCAAGUCGAACGGAAAGGCUCCAGCUUGCUGGAGUACUCGAGUGGCGAACGGGUGAGUAACACGUGGGUAAUCUGCCCUGCACUCUGGGAUAAGCCUGGGAAACUGGGUCUAAUACUGGAUAUGACCUUUCUCCUUAUGGGGUUUGGUGGAAAGUUUUUCGGUGUAGGAUGAGCCCGCGGCCUAUCAGCUUGUUGGUGGGGUGAUGGCCUACCAAGGCGACGACGGGUAGCCGGCCUGAGAGGGUGAUCGGCCAAAUUGGGACUGAGAUACGGCCCAGACUCCUACGGGAGGCAGGAGGGGGGAAUAUUGCACAAUGGGCGGAAGCCUGAUGCAGCGACGCCGCGUGAGGGAUGACGGCCUUCGGGUUGUAAACCUCUUUCAGCAGGGACGAAGCGUAAGUGACGGUACCUGCAGAAGAAGCACCGGCUAACUAUGUG
RNAcentral lists this ribosomal RNA (467 nucleotides) under uncultured bacterium. RNAcentral's name for it is "partial 16S ribosomal RNA". It matches the Rfam family "Bacterial small subunit ribosomal RNA", at positions 28 to 507 of the family's 1533-position model. The record is from RNAcentral.